RNAcentral lists this ribosomal RNA (99 nucleotides) under uncultured bacterium. RNAcentral describes it as "partial 16S ribosomal RNA". The record is from RNAcentral.
CGCGUGUGUGAUGAAGGACCUUCCGGGUUGGUUAAAGACACUUUCGUCACGUGACGAUGAUGACGGUAACGUGAGAAGAAGCCCCGGCUAACUUCGUGC